RNAcentral lists this ribosomal RNA (497 nucleotides) under uncultured bacterium. Its description in RNAcentral is "partial 16S ribosomal RNA". It matches the Rfam family "Bacterial small subunit ribosomal RNA", at positions 28 to 507 of the family's 1533-position model. The record is from RNAcentral.
GAUGAACGCUGGCGGCGUGCCUAAUACAUGCAAGUCGAGCGAACGGACGAGAAGCUUGCUCCCCUGAUGUUAGCGGCGGACGGGUGAGUAACACGUGGAUAACCUACCUAUAAGACGGGGAUAACUUCGGGAAACCGGAGCUAAUACCGGAUGAUAUUUUGAACCGCAUGGUUCAAAAGUGAAAGACGGUCUUGCUGUUACUUAUAGAUGGAUCCGCGCUGCAUUAGCUAGUUGGUAAGGUAACGGCUUACCAAGGCAACGAUGCAUAGCCGACCUGAGAGGGUGAUCGGCCACACUGGAACUGAGACACGGUCCAGACUCCUACGGGAGGCAGCAGUAGGGAAUCUUCCGCAAUGGGCGAAAGCCUGACGGAGCAACGCCGCGUGAGUGAUGAAGGUCUUCGGAUCGUAAAGCUCUGUUAUUAGGGAAGAACAUAUGUGUAAGUAACUGUGCACAUCUUGACGGUACCUAAUCAGAAAGCCACGGCUAACUACGUG